GAAAAAAAGCCUUUCGCCAGGAGUCAUGAGAGGAGGCAGACAUGACUAUAGGCCUGGAAAAUAUAGCUAGCCAUGUCGCUGGAUGGAGCAAAGUGAGUGAAUUCCAAGCCUGAUCCAGAGAGUGAAGAACACUUGCAAUUAAGCCUUUUUUCUUCUUAAUUCCCUGCUGCUCCCACAAGAGUUUAUUAUCAGAAGCCAACGCUUUUGGACUCAGAAUAGCAGAGAGCUAAGAAGCGUAAGUCUUGCUAAAAGAAUUAGUGGUUGGAAACAGGGUUUCAAUAGCAACGCAGCCUGCCCUCAGACUGUCAUCUGACUGCUUCAACCUCCUGUGUGAACUAUGAGACCACAGGUAUUCAGCACCACACCAGGGACUCAAACAUCUAUUUUUUUAUGCUUUCUUCAUAGAAAGUAGUUUUUAUUGAAAUAAAUUAUGGAUCAAAAUCAA
Long non-coding RNA from Mastomys coucha (southern multimammate mouse), 445 nucleotides. RefSeq lists it as uncharacterized. NCBI's taxonomy places the organism in Eukaryota, Metazoa, Chordata, Mammalia, Rodentia, Muridae. The transcript has 3 exons. The record is from RefSeq and is a predicted model, not a curated record.